This 403-nucleotide ribosomal RNA is filed under the name uncultured bacterium. RNAcentral describes it as "partial 16S ribosomal RNA". It matches the Rfam family "Bacterial small subunit ribosomal RNA", at positions 30 to 526 of the family's 1533-position model. The record is from RNAcentral.
AUUGAACGCUGGCGGCAGGCCUAACACAUGCAAGUCGAACGAGCGGCGGACGGGUGAGUAAUGCUUGGGGACCGCCCGACAUCGGGGGAUCACUACUGGAAAACGUGGCUAAUACCGCAUACUGUCGGAUAACCCAUAUGGGAUUAGCUAGUAGGUCAGGUAAUGGCGUACCUAGGCGACGAUCCCUAGCUGGUCUGAGCGGAUGAUCAGACACAUUGGGACUGCGACACGGCCCAGACUCCUACGGAGGCAGCAGUGGGGAAUAGUGCACAAGGGGCACAAGCCUGAUGCAGCCAUGCCGCGUGUGGGAAGAAGGCCGUAGGGUUGUAAAAUCAGUUCGCCCGGGAGGCGUUACCGACAGAAGAAGCACCGGCUAACUCCGUGCCAACAGCCGCGGUAAUUC